CAGUCUGCACCUUUUAUAGCUUCAUUGACUUUGUCGCUGAUGAUGGGGUAACCCGAAACUAGUACGACUUUAUAUAAAUAAACGCAAGUUAGAAGUU
Molecule: non-coding RNA, 97 nt
Organism: Onthophagus taurus
Lineage: Eukaryota; Metazoa; Arthropoda; Insecta; Coleoptera; Scarabaeidae
Source: RefSeq, a predicted model, not a curated record